UUGGAUUCCACCACUUGUUGACAGCACUCCCCUCAGAUCAGAGCUUUAAUUAUUGCUUACAGUGACUAUUUUGUCAUGGUUUUGAGCUGCUGGCAGCGGGCGCAGAAAAGCACAUGAGUCGCUGUCAUUCCGCGCAACAUUUGCGGACGGGAGGAAUCUAGUGAGUACUUGUUGCGAGCCAUACGGCGGCGGCAGCGUCUCGGAGCUGUCAAACAUUGCGCACAGCCUUCAGUCUCCAGUCAGUGGAGUAACCGGACUAAUCCAUCAGGAAAACAACUCGGAAGAUUAACCUAUUUUAUCCUCGAGAAACUAGUUUUUGUCUACGCACCCGGAAGCCUGUUUUUAAAACCACGAUCAUUUUGUCACAUGGCUUUGGAGAAUUCAAUAACAACAAAAAAUGGCGACAAUCACGUUGCUCUGUGUGGUCUUGCUGCGUCAUUAAAAAUAUUCAUGUAAACACGGGGAAUUAAACGGGGAAAUUGCAGUUAUUGCACAUGUUGCUUUGCUGUCCACGUCUGACAUGAACAUUUUUGGCCAGUGCCCUGUGCAGCGGGGCUAAUGGAGUUGUUUACAAGAAGUGAGGAGGGUGGACUGACGGGGAGGAGGAGGAUCCGCUACGUCGGCCAGCGACGCGACCGGACUGCUCGAGAGGGGGCGGAGCCCGCAAGGAGGAUCAUAACAAGUCUGACGUCACUUGGCCUUGUGGUUGGUAUGAAUAAUAUACAGUAGUUAAAAGAAAAAAAACAUUUUUAAAAAAAGCAGUUUUCCUCUACAAACUCCCAGCAGGAAAAGAGGUGAGGGGAAAAAUAUGUUGUUUUAAUAACUGUUUUCAUGAAUUGACACAUUAAGGAGCCACUUGUGCACCAGCAGACUGGAAACAAAGACAUAGCAAUACAAUUAAACCACUGAAUAUCUGAAUAUUGCCAAACAUGGACAUCAUGAUGGAAUACAUAAAGCUGAAAAGCAGACGUCUUCCUCCAAUUUCCAAGAAUCAAACAAUGUGCUUUGCAGAUUCACAGUAGCUCAUUGAGUUCUAAGACUGGGUGUGCAUUAUUCACCGUCCAACAUUCAGACACAGGUAGAAGUUGGAUGAAUUAGAGCUGCAAUGAUUAGUCGAUUGAUUGAUUAGUCGUUUAGAAGAACAUUAAUUGGUGACAAUUUUGAUAUUUGAUUGAUUGUUUCAGUUAUUUUUUGAGCAUGAAUGACAACUUUUUUCAGAUCUCAGCUUCUCAAAUGGGAGGAUUUGCUGCUUUUCUUUGUCAUAUAUCAUAGUAAAUUGAAUAUCUUUAGGUUUUGGUUGGACAAAAUCAAAUUAAAGAUGUCACUGUGGGCUUAGAGAAAAUUUAAAUGUAUUUUUUUAUUUACUAUUUCUAAUAUUUCGUAGACGAAAUGAUUAAUCAAUUAAUCAAAACUAAAAAUGUGAAAAAAAUAAGAUGAUCAUUAGUUGUAGUCCUUGCACAGAAUUAAUGCUGCAUCGUAAAAAACAUUUUCAAUCAUCAUUAGUUUCAUUUACAGCAUUUAAGUCCUAUGUCAAAGGGAUUUCCAUAUGUGGUUCAAAGCAUUAGACAAAUAGUUACUGUUUUUAUGGAAUACCCAUGUAACUGGGUGAUAAGAAAGAGUCUACAACAACACUGUUCAUGAAUCAACAACAUCCAUUUUACCAUAUAUGGACAACAGAGUCUGUCUUUUGCCAGACAGACUAAAUAAAUGAAACAAAAUAAACUGAUAAAAUCCCUGAGCAAUGUCCCGAUUGAGAUGCAUGCAGGAGCUUAUUAUAACUUCCAAUACUUACGGCUGAGCCUCUCGCACCAACUCUAGAAUCUUUUUACACUAACAGUAGGGUAUAAUAUAAAGGAAACCUAGAUAAUGAGGAUUCUUUGAGGCCGUGACAGCACAAGGACUCACAUCCUCAAACUUUGAAAUAUAUUUUAUUUUAUACCUUUUUCACUCUGACUUUACUUUCUAAUGGUCUUAUUAUAUUUACCCUCAAAUGUUCUAUCAUUUUAAAUGUUACGAUCUCGUGGUUAGAGAGCAAAAGACUUGUUGUUGACCCUUGGUGGGAAGGAUACUUUAAAAAAAAGUAUGUAAAAUGUUACUUGAAAAUUAUAUAUAUGAAUUGCUGGAGAUGCAACUUGUGCAUGUUUUAUAUUAGAUGCCACCAAAUGAGCUGCAUAAAAGCAAAAGGAAAACUUUGUUUAUCUUUGCACCUGUUGACCUAGAGCAUGGAUGUAACGGGUGGAUGACGAACGGAGUGAAGCCAUGGGCUGCUAGAUUUGACAGGCUGCCCUGGUUCAGUUAUCACAGUGCUGAUGCUGUCCCCAUCGAAGGUACAGUACUGUGAUAACUGAAGGAUGGCUGCCAACUUGACACUAGUGCAGUGGAACGAGACACAUUCAGCUAAUGAGCCAGAGGACCAGGGAGAAAUUCAACAAGUGUGAGUAUGAGAUAAAAACAAAAAGUGGUAUGAUGGAUCUAUUAGCCCUUUUAUUGUGUAUAUGAGUGUAAGAAAUAUUAAACUAAAAACCUGUAUGUUAGUAUUAUCUUCAUUACUCAUGCAUUUCUGUUUGGUUGUAAGAAAAAUAAAGUGACAUUUCUUUUA
Long non-coding RNA from Seriola aureovittata, 2599 nucleotides. RefSeq lists it as uncharacterized. The transcript has 2 exons. The record is from RefSeq and is a predicted model, not a curated record. Lineage: Eukaryota; Metazoa; Chordata; Actinopteri; Carangiformes; Carangidae.